This is a long non-coding RNA of Cornus florida, 833 nucleotides long. RefSeq lists it as uncharacterized. The record is from RefSeq and is a predicted model, not a curated record. The transcript is spliced from 4 exons. Lineage: Eukaryota; Viridiplantae; Streptophyta; Magnoliopsida; Cornales; Cornaceae.
CUUCUCUCUCUAUCUCUCUUCCAAGCCCUAGGUUCCUUUACACAACUCUGCUCUCUCUCUCUCUCGCGUCUAAGCCCUAGAUUUCUUUCUCCGCUCUCUCUCUUGUCGAAGCCCUAUCUUUCUCUCUUCGCUCUUCACGACCUCUCACACACAGGAGUUCUUCACAUCUGGCUCUCACGACUGCCAUGGUUGAGGACAGCGAGGAAUAGCUUGGUUCUAAUCUAUAUCAACAGAUGAUGUUAAUAAGGCUUCCCGACUUCUAGAUACUGAGAUUCAAGUGCUCAAGGAAGAGUUGCAAAGAUCAAAUCUUGAGUUGGAUUCCUUCAAGGAAAAGAUAAAGGAGAAUCAAGAGAAAAUAAAACUCAACAAGUAGCUUCCAUAUCUGGUCGGCAACACAGUGGAGGAAAUGGUUGCAAGGAACAGAGGAUAUGGUUUAAAGAUCAAAUGGGGUCCAACACCGUGGCAUCCGUGGUAAUAAGACUUCUUGUAUUGGAGGGAAGGAUUAUAAUACAUUAGAUGACUCAACAAAAAGAUGUUUGGAAAUGUUAUGUGAUCCCGAUGGCGAGAUUCCUGAGGAAUUACGGAAUUUAGAACCUCAUCAUAUUGAACAUGUCUGUAAUGAGAUAAUGGAGCGGGAUCCCAAUGUUCGCUGGGAUGAUAUUGGUAACAUAAGAUGAUGUAGACUUUUCCCAUUUUCAUAUUCUCGUAGUAAGUUUAUGUAUUUGGAUAUUUUGUUUUAAUCAUAUUUUUUUGCCUGUCCAUUCUCUAGCUGGUUUGGAACAUGCUAAAAAAAGUGUGACUGAGAUGGUUAUAUAGCCUUUAUUAUGUCCUGA